RNAcentral lists this ribosomal RNA (428 nucleotides) under uncultured Bacteroidota bacterium. Its description in RNAcentral is "bacterial SSU rRNA". It matches the Rfam family "Bacterial small subunit ribosomal RNA", at positions 545 to 975 of the family's 1533-position model. The record is from RNAcentral. Lineage: Bacteria; Pseudomonadati; Bacteroidota.
CCGGAUUUAUUGGGUUUAAAGGGUGCGCGGGCGGGGAUUUAGGUCGGCGGUGAAAUUUCGGGGCUCAACCUCGAUAGUGCCGUUGAAACCGUUUCUCUUGAGUGCGGAUGAGGUAGGCGGAAUUUGUGGUGUAGCGGUGAAAUGCGUAGAUAUCACAAGGAACACCGAUUGCGGAGGCAGCUUACUAAACCGUUACUGACGCUCAUGCACGAAGGCGUGGGGAUCAAACAGGAUUAGAUACCCUGGUAGUCCACGCAGUAAACGAUGAUUACUUGCUGUUUGCGAUACACGGUAAGCGGCGUAGCGAAAGCGUUAAGUAAUCCACCUGGGGAGUACGUUCGCAAGAAUGAAACUCAAAGGAAUUGACGGGGGCCCGCACAAGCGGAGGAACAUGUGGUUUAAUUCGAUGAUACGCGAGGAACCUUACC